UACGUAGGCGGAAAAUUAAGUCAGUAGUGAAAUCCUGCAGCUUAACUGUAGAACUGUUAUUGAUACUGGUUUUCUUGAAUAUAGUUGAAGUAGGCGGAAUGUGUAAUGUAGCGGUGAAAUGCUUAGAUAUUACACAGAACACCGAUUGCGAAGGCAGCUUACUAAGCUAUGAUUGACGCUGAGGUACGAAAGCGUAGGGAGCGAACAGGAUUAGAUACCCUGGUAGUCC
Molecule: ribosomal RNA, 229 nt
Filed under: uncultured bacterium
Lineage: Bacteria
Description: partial 16S ribosomal RNA
Rfam family: Bacterial small subunit ribosomal RNA
Source: RNAcentral